ACCAUAUCCCAGUUGCAUACACAUAUUAGCAAUGGAAAAAUAUCUGGUUGUGUAUGAUAGAAAGUUUGGUAUUGAAGCCAAAGAUUUUAUUGAAAAAAAUCCACAUCCAUGAUGCAGUCUGUUUUCAGUGAUCAUUCCUACCAUGAGAUGCAACCUGAAGAAGACUUGUUUAGUGCAGUGUGCAGGGAGGUUCAGUGGAUUGCUGUAAAACCAGUGAAUAGUCCAUGGGGGGUUUGUACUUUUGUGUAUUCAAAAGU
This is a long non-coding RNA of Xenia sp. Carnegie-2017, 257 nucleotides long. RefSeq lists it as uncharacterized. The record is from RefSeq and is a predicted model, not a curated record. The transcript is spliced from 3 exons. NCBI's taxonomy places the organism in Eukaryota, Metazoa, Cnidaria, Anthozoa, Malacalcyonacea, Xeniidae.